Leopardus geoffroyi (Geoffroy's cat) is the source of this 1194-nucleotide long non-coding RNA. RefSeq lists it as uncharacterized. Lineage: Eukaryota; Metazoa; Chordata; Mammalia; Carnivora; Felidae. The record is from RefSeq and is a predicted model, not a curated record. The transcript has 5 exons.
AGCCACCCAGGUGCCCCCAGAAAUGUGCUUGAGAAGCAGAAAAGCCAAGAUUAUAGGAUAUCAAGAUGGGAUUGUGGCUGAGCUGGAAGAGAAAAGAACAUCACCAAUAGACAAAAACUGAGAGUAAUAGGGCUUUAGGUGUUAAGCCCCUCUUUUGGGCAGAGGAAGCAUCCAAAUCCAAGAGCCCUAUGAACCUGGUGGUAAAGCAGAUCUGCUCUGCUUCUUUUUGCCCAAAGUACUACCAACAUGCAGCACAACUCAACGGCAUGUUCUUUAUGAAGGCUUCUCCCCUGUCUGUGCUCCAUGUGCCUCUAUUCAAACGCUAUCCUGAGGACAGAAAACAUGUCUGGCAUUUCUCCAUGUCUAGAGCGUGGUGUACCUAGGAUAUUGCAGGAAACAGGGACCAAAGAAACAUGUUAAAUGACACCAUGCAGAUUGGAUGCAACUAACCAAGUUUAGAAUGUGGGAAAGAUGACAAGGCAAAGACCAGUUUCUUCAAUAAACCAAUUGCAAAGAAAACAGAAAGUGGAGGCAAUAUAGAUUAACAGAGAUUCAAGAGACAUACCAAAACAAUUCUUUGCUAUUUCUUCCAUUGAGGGUUGGAUUCUAAUUUCCCUCCCCUUGAAUUUGAUCUGGCCUUAGUGACUUGCUCGAUCAACAGGAUGUAGUGAAAAUGACAUUCUGGGAAUUCUGGGGCUAGUCUGUAAGAAGCUGGGAGGUGCCACAUGAGGCCACUUGCAGCACUGUCUCUGGGAUACGUGAGCCUAAGAAGUCUGAGUACUCUUAGACCAGUAUGUUGGAGAGGCCAGCAUUGUAGGCACAGGUGCAGUCAUGUGAAUGAUGCCAUCUUGGAUCCUCCACACCAGCUAUAGUUGAUGUGGAGUGGACCAGAAGGAUGACUCAGCCAAGCAUUGCUCAAUUAGUAAUCCAUAAUACUGUGAGAUAUAAUAAAAUGUUUGUUUUCAGCUACUCAGUUUUGGAGUAGUUUGCUAUACAACUAUAGACAAACAGAAUAACAUCUAAUAUUUUAAGAUGGAAAUUAAGAUCUGGUGUUAGUAGAAUGUGGUUUGCAGGAGGAAAGGAUGACAAAAAAAACAAAAAUAAACCAAGAGAUGUUUUUGGGCAUGUUCAAUUUGUGAGGUAAUGUUAUUUCAUGAUGAAAAUGAUACUUAAUAAAUUGUGUGGUGAAAUUGA